GUGGGGAAUAUUGGACAAUGGGCGCAAGCCUGAUCCAGCCAUGCCGCGUGAGUGAUGAAGGCCCUAGGGUUGUAAAGCUCUUUCACCGGUGAAGAUAAUGACGGUAGUCGGAGAAGAAGCCCCGGCUAACUUCGUGCCAGCAGCCGCGGUAAUACGAAGGGGGCUAGCGUUGUGCGGAAUUACUGGACGUAAAGCGCACGUAGGCGGAUAUUUAAGUCAGGGGUGAAAUCCCAGAGCUCAACUCUGGAACUGCAUUUGAUACUGGGUAUCUCGAGUAUGGAAGAGGUGAGUGGAAUACCGAGUGUAGAGGUGAAAUUCGUAGAUAUUCGGAGGAACACCAGUGGCGAAGGCGGCUCACUGGUCCAUUACUGACGCUGAGGUGCGAAAGCGUGGGGAGCAAACAGGAUUAGAAACCCCUGUAGUCC
RNAcentral lists this ribosomal RNA (425 nucleotides) under uncultured bacterium. RNAcentral's name for it is "partial 16S ribosomal RNA". It matches the Rfam family "Bacterial small subunit ribosomal RNA", at positions 354 to 796 of the family's 1533-position model. The record is from RNAcentral.